AAGUCGUAACAAGGUAUCCGUAGGUGAACCUGCGGAUGGAUCAUUACAAAAUUUUACCGCUUUAUUGCGCGUAACUUUUAACCACAUGUGUACCUCGUGUUUGUGAGUGUUUUGCUCUUUGGCAGUCUGACUGUCAUUCGCACGCCCGCGAACGCGCCAUUACAACUUUUAAACUGAAAUCAUGACAAUAUCAAUUGGCAUAAAACUUUUAACAACGGAUCUCUUGGCUCUC
RNAcentral lists this unclassified non-coding RNA (232 nucleotides) under fungal sp. RNAcentral describes it as "partial internal transcribed spacer region". The stretch from base 1 to 46 matches the Rfam family "Eukaryotic small subunit ribosomal RNA", at positions 1786 to 1831 of the family's 1831-position model. Lineage: Eukaryota; Fungi. The record is from RNAcentral.